GGCGGGCAAGUCUGGUGCCAGCAGCCGCGGUAAUUCCAGCUCCAAUAGCGUAUAUUAAAGUUGUUGCAGUUAAAAAGCUCGUAGUUGAAUUUCGGGAUUAGUGCGCCGGUCGUGCCUUCGGUAUGUACUGGUGUUACUGGUUCCUACCUUCUGACGAACCGUCAUGUCAUUAAUUUGGUGUGGCGGGGAAUCAGGACUGUUACUUUGAAAAAAUUAGAGUGUUUAAAGCAGGCUCGCGCUUGAAUACAUUAGCAUGGAAUAAUGAAAUAGGACGUUCGAUCCUAUUUUGUUGGUUUCUAGGAUUGACGUAAUGAUUAAUAGGGAUAGUCGGGGGCAUUAGUAUUCAAUUGUCAGAGGUGAAAUUCUUGGAUUUAUUGAAGACUAACUACUGCGAAAGCAUUUGCCAAGGAUGUCUUCAUUAAUCAAGAACGAAAGUUAGGGGAUCGAAGACGAUCAGAUACCGUCGUAGUCUUAACCAUAAACUAUGCCGACUAGGGAUCGGAUGAUGUUAAUUUUUUAAUGACUCAUUCGGCGCCUUACGGGAAACA
Molecule: ribosomal RNA, 548 nt
Filed under: uncultured Glomus
Lineage: Eukaryota; Fungi; Glomeromycota; Glomeromycetes; Glomerales; Glomeraceae
Description: SSU rRNA
Rfam family: Eukaryotic small subunit ribosomal RNA
Source: RNAcentral